Molecule: unclassified non-coding RNA, 185 nt
Filed under: uncultured Flavobacteriaceae bacterium
Lineage: Bacteria; Pseudomonadati; Bacteroidota; Flavobacteriia; Flavobacteriales; Flavobacteriaceae
Description: 16S-23S ribosomal RNA intergenic spacer
Source: RNAcentral
AGAGAAAGACAAAAAAGUUUUAUCGUAGUAUGGUUACUUACUGAUUUCUCAUAAAUCAAAAAGAAUGACAUAUAGAAAUAAGUUGGUUAAAUAAGCGGUUCGAUUCCGAUGAUUUCACAUUUUCACUGAAAUAUAGUGAAUUAAGUUCAUUGAUGUAUUGUAAGUAAGAAGAAAUACCUGUAUAG